UUCAGACAGUUCACAGUGACACAUUUUUUAGGUGUUUUCAGUCCAUUGCGUUUUAGAAUGAGUCAUUUUUAAGUGUAAAACACAUUUUUAUGUGUUUUCUGGCCAUUGCGCCAUUGCGUUUUACAAAUAAGUCAUUUCUUUGUGUUUUUGGUGCAUUGCGUUUUAGGUAAAACACAUUUUUAUGUGUUUUCUGGCCAUUGCGUU
Molecule: long non-coding RNA, 204 nt
Filed under: Helianthus annuus (common sunflower)
Lineage: Eukaryota; Viridiplantae; Streptophyta; Magnoliopsida; Asterales; Asteraceae
Description: sRNA HanXRQr2_Chr16g0724451
Source: RNAcentral